CCUACGGGAGGCAGCAGUGGGGAAUAUUGCUCAAUGGCCGUAAGGCUGAUCCAGCCAAGUCGCGUGAAGGAAGAAGGAUCUAUGGUUUGUAAACUUCUUUUAUAGGGGAAUAAAGGUAUCCACGUGUGGAUAUUUGCAUGUACCCUAUUAAUAAGCAUCGGCUAACCCCGGGCCAGCAGCCGCGGUAAUACGGAGGAUGCGAGCGUUAUCCGGAUUUAUUGGGUUUAAAGGGUGCGUAGGGUGUUUGUUAAGUCAGCUGUGAAAGUUUGUGGCUCAACCAUAAAAUUGCCGUUGAAACUGGAAGACUAGAGUGUGUGUGGGGGAGGCGGAAGGCGAGGUGUAGCGGUGAAAUGCAUAGAUAUCACGCAGAACACCGAUUGCGAAGGCAGCUUACUAGGCCAUAACUGACACUGAAGCACGAAAGCGUGGGGAUCAAACAGGAUUAGAUACCCCUGUAGUC
This 460-nucleotide ribosomal RNA is filed under the name uncultured bacterium. RNAcentral's name for it is "partial 16S ribosomal RNA". It matches the Rfam family "Bacterial small subunit ribosomal RNA", at positions 338 to 795 of the family's 1533-position model. The record is from RNAcentral.